RNAcentral lists this ribosomal RNA (397 nucleotides) under uncultured bacterium. Its description in RNAcentral is "partial 16S ribosomal RNA". It matches the Rfam family "Bacterial small subunit ribosomal RNA", at positions 523 to 918 of the family's 1533-position model. The record is from RNAcentral.
AUACGUAGGUGACAAGCGUUAUCCGGAUUUACUGGGCGUAAAGGGCGUGUAGGCGGUCUUGCAAGUCAGAAGUGAAAUUCCUGAGCUCAACUCGGGCGCUGCUUCUGAAACUGCAGGACUUGAGUGCUGGAGGGGAUAGCGGAAUUCCUAGGGGAGCGGUAAAAUGCGCAGAUAUUAGGAAGAACACCGGUGGCGAAGGCGGCUAUCUGGACAGUAACUGACGCUGAGGCGCGAAAGCGUGGGGAGCAAACAGGAUUAGAUACCCUGGUAGUCCACACUGUAAACGAUGAAUGCUAGGUGUAAGAGGUAUCGACCCCUUUUGUGCCGGAGUUAACACAAUAAGCAUUCCGCCUGGGGAGUACGGCCGCAAGGUUGAAACUCAAAUGAAUUGACGGGG